CCCAGCCGGGUGGAUGAUGUGGUUUAAUUCGAUGCAACGCGAAAAACCUUACCCACCUUUGACAUGUAUGGAAUCCUGAAGAGAUUUGGGAGUGCUCGAAAGAGAGCCAUAACACAGGUGCUGCAUGGCUGUCGUCAGCUCGUGUCGUGAGAUGUUGGGUUAAGUCCCGCAACGAGCGCAACCCUUGCCAUUAGUUGCUACGAAAGGGCACUCUAAUGGGACUGCCGGUGACAAACCGGAGGAAGGUGGGGAUGACGUCAAGUCCUCAUGGCCCUUAUAGGUGGGGCUACACACGUCAUACAAUGGCUGGUACAGAGGGUUGCCAACCCGCGAGGGGGAGCCAAUCCCAUAAAGCCAGUCGUAGUCCGGAUCGCAGUCUGCAACUCGACUGCGUGAAGUCGGAAUCGCUAGUAAUCGCGGAUCAAAAUGUCGCGGUGAAUACGUUCCCGGGUCUUGUACACACCGCCCGUAU
This 472-nucleotide ribosomal RNA is filed under the name bacterium PRO-SP1. RNAcentral's name for it is "bacterial SSU rRNA". It matches the Rfam family "Bacterial small subunit ribosomal RNA", at positions 925 to 1399 of the family's 1533-position model. The record is from RNAcentral.